RNAcentral lists this long non-coding RNA (242 nucleotides) under Homo sapiens (human). RNAcentral's name for it is "non-protein coding lnc-CDH5-21:1". The record is from RNAcentral. Lineage: Eukaryota; Metazoa; Chordata; Mammalia; Primates; Hominidae.
AUUUUACUUCAUUAAAAACUACAAAACCAAUCUAUGUCAUAUACCAAAAUAUUUGAAAUAACUCUAUAUAUUUAUUGAAAAAUAAAGGAGGGGAAUGAUUGUCAUGAGAGCAGAGCUCAGACAUGUCUUCAUCAGCCUGGGAAAGAAAAUGAUGGAGGAGGAGGUGUAGACUGUUCUGGCAGGAAGUGAGGACAGCAAUUGCUGUAGCAACUCAGAGGCAUUUCUGAAGCACACCCCAAGCA